RNAcentral lists this transfer RNA (89 nucleotides) under Kordiimonadaceae bacterium. RNAcentral's name for it is "tRNA-Leu". It matches the Rfam family "tRNA". From Rfam's summary of the family: Transfer RNA (tRNA) molecules are approximately 80 nucleotides in length. The record is from RNAcentral. Lineage: Bacteria; Pseudomonadati; Pseudomonadota; Alphaproteobacteria; Kordiimonadales; Kordiimonadaceae.
GCGGUCGUGGCGGAAUUGGUAGACGCGCAGCGUUGAGGUCGCUGUGGGGUUUAAACCCCGUGGAAGUUCGAGUCUUCUCGACCGCACCA